GGAGAGGUGCCCGAGAGGCCCAAGGGAGCGGUUUGCUAAACCGUGACGCUCAAAAGGCGUCCGUGGGUUCGAUUCCCACCCUCUCCG
RNAcentral lists this transfer RNA (87 nucleotides) under Gemmatimonadota bacterium. RNAcentral's name for it is "tRNA-Ser". It matches the Rfam family "tRNA". Rfam says of the family: Transfer RNA (tRNA) molecules are approximately 80 nucleotides in length. Their secondary structure includes four short double-helical elements and three loops (D, anti-codon, and T loops). Further hydrogen bonds mediate the characteristic L-shaped molecular structure. tRNAs have two regions of fundamental functional importance: the anti-codon, which is responsible for specific mRNA codon recognition, and the 3' end, to which the tRNAs corresponding amino acid is attached (by aminoacyl-tRNA synthetases). tRNAs cope with the degeneracy of the genetic code in two manners: having more than one tRNA (with a specific anti-codon) for a particular amino acid; and 'wobble' base-pairing, i.e. permitting non-standard base-pairing at the 3rd anti-codon position. The record is from RNAcentral. Lineage: Bacteria; Pseudomonadati; Gemmatimonadota.